This 250-nucleotide ribosomal RNA is filed under the name uncultured bacterium. RNAcentral describes it as "partial 16S ribosomal RNA". It matches the Rfam family "Bacterial small subunit ribosomal RNA", at positions 83 to 334 of the family's 1533-position model. The record is from RNAcentral.
CUUUGGUGGCGACCGGCGCACGGGUGCGUGACGCGUAUGCAACCUACCUUUAACAGGGGCAUAAUACUGAGAAAUUGGUACUAAUUCCCCAUAACAUUCGAGAAGGCAUCUUCUUGGGUUAAAAACUCCGGUGGUUAAAGAUGGGCAUGCGUUGUAUUAGCUAGUUGGUGAGGUAACGGCUCACCAAGGCAACGAUACAUAGGGGGACUGAGAGGUUAACCCCCCACAUUGGUACUGAGACACGGACCAA